ACGGCUCAGUAACACGUAGUCAACCUACCCUAAGGACGGGGACAACCAUGGGAAACUAUGGCUAAUACCCGAUAGGAAAUUCGGCCUGGAACGGUGUCUUUUCUAAAACCGGCUAGCCGUUAGACACGGGCCUUAGGAUGGGGCUGCGGCCGAUUAUGCUAGAUGGCGGUGUAAAGGACCACCAUGGCUACGAUCGGUAUGGGCGAUGGAAGUCGGAGCCCAGAGUCGGCUACUGAGACAAGGAGCCGAGCUUUACGAAGCUUAGCGGUCGCGAAAACUCGCCAAUGCACGAAAGUGUGAGUGGGCUACUCCAAGUGACAUUCUUACGGAUGUCUGUCGCUCAGUCUUACCAGCUGAGAAAGGAAGGAGAGGGCAAGGCUGGUGCCAGCCGCCGCGGUAAAACCAGCUCUUCGAGUGGUCAGGACGAAUAUUGGGUCUAAAGCGCUCGUAGCCGGACAAGUAGGUUCUUGGUUAAACCCGACAGCAUAACUGUUGGCAUGCUGGGAAUACCGCUAGUCUUGGAAGCGGGAGAGGACAGAGGUAGUCAUAGGGCAGGGGUGAAAUCCAGUGAUCCUAUGGCGACCACCGAUGGCGAAGGCAUCUGUCUGGAGCGUAUUCGACGGUGAGGGGCGAAAGCUAGGGGAGCGACCCGGAUUAGAUACCCGGUUAGUCCUAGCCGUAAACGAUGCGGACUAGGUGUUACGGCGGCCAAGAGCCACCGUAGUGCCACAGCGAAGGCGUUAAGUCCGCCACCUGGGGAGUACGGAUGCAAGUCUGAACUUAAAGGAAUUGACGGGGGCGCACCACCAGGAGUGAAGCCUGCGGUUUAAUUGGGGUCAACGCCGGG
This 847-nucleotide ribosomal RNA is filed under the name uncultured archaeon. Its description in RNAcentral is "bacterial SSU rRNA". It matches the Rfam family "Archaeal small subunit ribosomal RNA", at positions 85 to 922 of the family's 1478-position model. The record is from RNAcentral.